Molecule: long non-coding RNA, 412 nt
Organism: Sphaerodactylus townsendi
Lineage: Eukaryota; Metazoa; Chordata; Lepidosauria; Squamata; Sphaerodactylidae
Exons: 3
Source: RefSeq, a predicted model, not a curated record
AAUGACAAUGAACACCUGCCCUUUUGGGUCAUCCCAGGAGGGCUCUUCUGGUUGUGGGACAGGACGCUUAGCAUUCCAUACCGUGUCCCGAUCUCACCGGAUGCCGCUCCUUGCUCCCUGCCUGUGCAAAACAACCUUGUUUGAUGCUGAUGUUGGCUUCUCCUGCAUCACACAGUGCAGGGAUCUCUGCUCUGCGCAGCUAAAGCUGGGCCACAGAGAGCUCUUGUGCACAAACAUGCUUAUUCUGCAUGGCUGCAGCAAAAGUGGAGAAAAGAAAUAAACUGGUGAGAUCAAUAGAUGACAGUUUACAUCUAAAGCACAAAGCACUUCUUUGGCCAUGAACCUGCUCCUUUGUGGUUCCCCAUCUCAUUCCCAUGAUCUCUUGCAGGUGGUGGUGAGAAGGACCCUGCCG